CGGCGCGGGCGGAGGCGCGGCGCGGCCUGACGUAACCGGGCGCUCGGCCCCGCCGAACGCGGCUGACGCUGCGCGGCCAGAGAGCAGGCCCCGCCGCCGCCUGGGCUUGGAACGCAGCGCGCGCGGCCAUGGCCUCCGGCGCCGCAGCUAAGCGGGCGCAGGGCGAGCGGGCGGCGGGACGGCAGCCCCGGCCCCGGCCCCGGCCCCAGCGCGGGGCUGACCGUGUGCCCCCUCGUCUCGUCCCACAGAGGCGGACCCUCGACAGAGGCUGCUGCGCACCGUCAAGAAGGAGGUACCGUAAGUUCCCGGUGAGGAAUCCGAGUUUUCAAGGACUGGGUAGAAUCGACGGAGGAGAUAAGAAUGCUGAGGAAGACUCUAUAACCAGGCUUUCUGACAAACCUGGUCCUGGAGAUUCAUGGCCUACAUCAGCUAGCCAAGACGUAGAUUUCGGUACCAAGGAAGGAACAGCAAAGUCAGCAAUGGAAGCAAAGGAAGAUGGUGUUGGUAUUAUUGAAAAUGUGCCACCAGAGCAAACAGUUAAUGACAGUGUGACUUCUGCUGGUGGAGUGCAUAAAAAUUGCAGAAGUGAUAUGAUGUCAGCAUUAGAAUUAGGAGAAGAGGAAGAUGUAGAAUCACCUUCUCUUCCUGAGAUGCAGAGACUGACACACGGAAGUUUUCGGUAGUGUACUCAAGUUGCAAGAAGCACAGGAUCGACAUGCAGAGGCCAUAAGACAUGCUGAGGAGAUGAAAGAUCAUAUGCAAAAGUAGAAUUCUACCCUCAGAGAAAAUAGCGCUAAAAGUUCAACAUGCCAGAUGGGAAGAAACCAUUAAACAGCAAGUGGCCCAAAUUCAAGAUCUUCAGAGCAACUUGUUAAGGAUAAGUUUG
Prionailurus viverrinus (fishing cat) is the source of this 886-nucleotide RNA transcript. It is a transcript of the gene named ankyrin repeat domain-containing protein 26-like, with no coding region annotated. Lineage: Eukaryota; Metazoa; Chordata; Mammalia; Carnivora; Felidae. The transcript is spliced from 9 exons. The record is from RefSeq and is a predicted model, not a curated record.